GGGCCGGUAGAUUAGCCCGGCAACGAGUUCCAUCUGGGCCUCGUCGGGAUAGAUCGUCUGGUUUGCAUCCAGAAGGCCGCGAGUUCAAAUCUCGCCCGGUCCACCA
This 106-nucleotide transfer RNA is filed under the name Candidatus Thorarchaeota archaeon. RNAcentral describes it as "tRNA-Ala". It matches the Rfam family "tRNA". From Rfam's summary of the family: Transfer RNA (tRNA) molecules are approximately 80 nucleotides in length. Their secondary structure includes four short double-helical elements and three loops (D, anti-codon, and T loops). The record is from RNAcentral. Lineage: Archaea; Promethearchaeati; Candidatus Thorarchaeota.